This 1530-nucleotide ribosomal RNA is filed under the name Salmonella enterica subsp. enterica. RNAcentral describes it as "bacterial SSU rRNA". It matches the Rfam family "Bacterial small subunit ribosomal RNA". The record is from RNAcentral. Lineage: Bacteria; Pseudomonadati; Pseudomonadota; Gammaproteobacteria; Enterobacterales; Enterobacteriaceae.
AGAGUUUGAUCAUGGCUCAGAUUGAACGCUGGCGGCAGGCCUAACACAUGCAAGUCGAACGGUAACAGGAAGCAGCUUGCUGCUUUGCUGACGAGUGGCGGACGGGUGAGUAAUGUCUGGGAAACUGCCUGAUGGAGGGGGAUAACUACUGGAAACGGUGGCUAAUACCGCAUAACGUCGCAAGACCAAAGAGGGGGACCUUCGGGCCUCUUGCCAUCAGAUGUGCCCAGAUGGGAUUAGCUGGUUGGUGAGGUAACGGCUCACCAAGGCGACGAUCCCUAGCUGGUCUGAGAGGAUGACCAGCCACACUGGAACUGAGACACGGUCCAGACUCCUACGGGAGGCAGCAGUGGGGAAUAUUGCACAAUGGGCGCAAGCCUGAUGCAGCCAUGCCGCGUGUAUGAAGAAGGCCUUCGGGUUGUAAAGUACUUUCAGCGGGGAGGAAGGUGUUGUGGUUAAUAACCACAGCAAUUGACGUUACCCGCAGAAGAAGCACCGGCUAACUCCGUGCCAGCAGCCGCGGUAAUACGGAGGGUGCAAGCGUUAAUCGGAAUUACUGGGCGUAAAGCGCACGCAGGCGGUCUGUCAAGUCGGAUGUGAAAUCCCCGGGCUCAACCUGGGAACUGCAUUCGAAACUGGCAGGCUUGAGUCUUGUAGAGGGGGGUAGAAUUCCAGGUGUAGCGGUGAAAUGCGUAGAGAUCUGGAGGAAUACCGGUGGCGAAGGCGGCCCCCUGGACAAAGACUGACGCUCAGGUGCGAAAGCGUGGGGAGCAAACAGGAUUAGAUACCCUGGUAGUCCACGCCGUAAACGAUGUCUACUUGGAGGUUGUGCCCUUGAGGCGUGGCUUCCGGAGCUAACGCGUUAAGUAGACCGCCUGGGGAGUACGGCCGCAAGGUUAAAACUCAAAUGAAUUGACGGGGGCCCGCACAAGCGGUGGAGCAUGUGGUUUAAUUCGAUGCAACGCGAAGAACCUUACCUGGUCUUGACAUCCACAGAACUUUCCAGAGAUGGACUGGUGCCUUCGGGAACUGUGAGACAGGUGCUGCAUGGCUGUCGUCAGCUCGUGUUGUGAAAUGUUGGGUUAAGUCCCGCAACGAGCGCAACCCUUAUCCUUUGUUGCCAGCGGUCCGGCCGGGAACUCAAAGGAGACUGCCAGUGAUAAACUGGAGGAAGGUGGGGAUGACGUCAAGUCAUCAUGGCCCUUACGACCAGGGCUACACACGUGCUACAAUGGCGCAUACAAAGAGAAGCGACCUCGCGAGAGCAAGCGGACCUCAUAAAGUGCGUCGUAGUCCGGAUUGGAGUCUGCAACUCGACUCCAUGAAGUCGGAAUCGCUAGUAAUCGUGGAUCAGAAUGCCACGGUGAAUACGUUCCCGGGCCUUGUACACACCGCCCGUCACACCAUGGGAGUGGGUUGCAAAAGAAGUAGGUAGCUUAACCUUCGGGAGGGCGCUUACCACUUUGUGAUUCAUGACUGGGGUGAAGUCGUAACAAGGUAACCGUAGGGGAACCUGCGGUUGGAUCACCU